AAGGGGGGGAUUGUCAAUAGAUUUCUAGCAAAGGUUUAUUAGCUGAUGUGGCUUCAUUAUGCUAGUCCUACUCCAUAAAUUUGUUAUCUAUUUAAUUACGUUUAAUAAUAUUAAGUAAUUGUGCUAUCUGUUUUGUUUCCCUAGUUUUCCCAUCUUGAGAAAUUUCCUUGUUAUGUUGGAAAGUUUUGACUGACUGCUUGAAUUUGGGCAGUUUUAUGAACCAGCGGAUUCUUGCAAACUUUAGAUUUAAAUGUUUUACUAAGUGCCAGAAUUUGGCACUUAAGACUUCAUUUGUACAAGUAAUAGGAAAAUUGAUUCUGAACUUAAAGUUAGUGCCUAGAAAUGAGUUUAUGGUGAAUUGGUGAUCAGGACCCUAUAUCUGUCCAUUUACUACUUAUGUUAUUGAAUAAUACAUUAUAAUUAUCACUGCAUUUGAUAAGAGAGGAAACACUCUUUUUGGCAGUGGGAUAUAUAUUUAAUGAAAAUUAGAAUAUUACACCCUUAAAUUAGCAUAUCUUGCUUUAACUUCUCUGGACUUCGUAUAUAGUUGAGUAAAGAGAAAAUCAAACAGAGUACGAACUGCAGUAAUAGGCCAUAAGUACUAAAUUUUAGUCUCAGGGCAUUCAUUGGAAUUGUCGCAUGUGGCUAUCAAUUCUAUUGGUAUCGUUCAUUUCUUAUAUGCACAGCUCCUUAACUGCAUUAUUAAGUUCCUCUCUAGAAUUUAAUCACAUUUUGUUUACCGAGUGUAGAUUGUGUACACAAUUUGUAUUGACAUGGAUAGAGAGGUCUAUACAAUGUAAUUGAUAAUAUGUUGAUGUUUUUCUUGUUUAUUGUUUUUGCAGAUUGGUUUUUGAUGACGUUUGGAAGCAUACUUGAAUUUUUUUUCCCCUAAAUUGAUACUUCUACAAAUCAAGAUCGAGUGUUGAUUUUUUUUAUGGACUCCAUGAUAUCUUGCUUGUGCUCGCUGUUCAAGCUCAGGAGUGCUUGUCCUAGUUGAACCAGUUUCAACUGUUAACGAUGGAGAUCAGCACCUAGCAACUCCUAAAACUGAACGAUGUUCAAACUGUUCAGGUUCUGGAAAGGUGAAUCAUGCGCUUGGGUUUUAAUUGGGACUGACAUAAAUAUUCUGCUACUUGCUAAGUUCGCAAAGCCUUUAAUGGGACCUGCCCAGAUAGUCAUAAACAGCAUCCUCAUUAACGGUGAAGUAUGUAGUUUUCUUUUCUCUUUUUUACUUACCUUUUAUAUCUAAAAUUCUGAAUUAUCGUUCUUCUCUUUUUGGUAAAUGAAGAAUUAAAGUCACAUCUAUGAAAUUGAAGAACUGGUAAUUGUUCUUUGCCACCACUAGUGUAAAUCAGGUAAUGUUACAGGCUCAACUCCUCAUUCACAUAUAAGAUGGUGGGAUAUGUGGUGGGUAAUUCCUGGGUCGAUUGAGGCUUUGUUUCAGUGGUGGGCAGGGGCUUUGGUUAAGAAAAAAGAGGUGAAGGUGUGGAAAAUUGUGCCGCUAGUUUUAUUUUGCCAAUUUGGUAGUUAAGGAAUGAUAUAUUGUUUAACAGUGGCCAUCCUAAUUUUGAUGAUUUGGAGGACAUUGUGAAGACCAGGAUUACAUUUUGGGCUAAGAACAAUUUACCAGGUGUGCAGUACGGAGUGCAUGAUUUUGUUCAUAAGUCAGACAUUGCUUGAGAUGAAGGGUGUUUACUGGGGCACUGUGGUGGCAGUGUUCUGGGACGACUUGUGCUGGUUUUGCUGUCAAGUCCUGCUGUUGCUGUGUGUAGUCCAGUUGCUGGGUGCGUAGUCCCACUGCUGUGGUCUUGUUAUGGGAAGCCCUCUGCUGGUGUUUUUGCUGUUAUGAACUGCUACUGCUGGUCCUAUAGUUGCUGGUUCUCUUGUUGCUGGUGUUUGCUGUCAUGUGUAGUAACAGUUUGCAGUAGUAGUGUGCUGUUGUAGCUGUGUACGUGGUGCACUUAUCAGUUUGUUAGCAGUCCUGUUAUAGCUUCUGUGUUGUUUGCUUGCUGGGUUGUCAUGCAGUUGCUAAUGUUUGCGGGGUUGAAAUGCUGUUGUUGAUGUUUGCUGGGUUGACAUGCUGUUAUAGCUGUUGUUUUGCUACCUUGGGUGCUGUUGGUGCUGCUGUCUAUUGGUGCUGCUUGUUGCUACCUUGGUUGUUAAAUACUGGUGCCUCUUCCUGUGGCAAGGAGUUUGAUGGUGUAUUGUUUAGAAGUUGCUGGAAGAUUUUACAAGGGAAGGAGUUGGCAGAGUUGGAUGGUUGUCCUUGCGGUGUGGUUGGUCUGUUUUUUACUGUUUUUCUUUUUGUUUCUCUGUUUUGGAUUGGUUUCUCGUCAAUCUGUGGGUUUAGUGCUACCAUAUAAUUGUGCUUCCUCCUUGAUGCCAACCUAGUUGGGAUUGUGGAGUUUAGCUAUGAUGUUUUUUGCACUUCCCUUCUUUAUUGAUGUUUAUUGUUGCUUGUAUUUGCUCACCUCAUCAAUAAAGUUUUCCUUUUCUUGCUGGUCAAAAAAAAAAAAACAAAAAA
Molecule: non-coding RNA, 2524 nt
Organism: Camellia sinensis
Lineage: Eukaryota; Viridiplantae; Streptophyta; Magnoliopsida; Ericales; Theaceae
Source: RefSeq, a predicted model, not a curated record